Molecule: ribosomal RNA, 442 nt
Filed under: Enterobacter sp.
Lineage: Bacteria; Pseudomonadati; Pseudomonadota; Gammaproteobacteria; Enterobacterales; Enterobacteriaceae
Description: bacterial SSU rRNA
Rfam family: Bacterial small subunit ribosomal RNA
Source: RNAcentral
CUUACUCCUACGGGAGGCAGCAGUGGGGAAUAUUGCACAAUGGGCGCAAGCCUGAUGCAGCCAUGCCGCGUGUAUGAAGAAGGCCUUCGGGUUGUAAAGUACUUUCAGCGGGGAGGAAGGUGUUGUGGUUAAUAACCGCAGCAAUUGACGUUACCCGCAGAAGAAGCACCGGCUAACUCCGUGCCAGCAGCCGCGGUAAUACGGAGGGUGCAAGCGUUAAUCGGAAUUACUGGGCGUAAAGCGCACGCAGGCGGUCUGUCAAGUCGGAUGUGAAAUCCCCGGGCUCAACCUGGGAACUGCAUUCGAAACUGGCAGGCUAGAGUCUUGUAGAGGGGGGUAGAAUUCCAGGUGUAGCGGUGAAAUGCGUAGAGAUCUGGAGGAAUACCGGUGGCGAAGGCGGCCCCCUGGACAAAGACUGACGCUCAGUGCGAAGCUGAACGCU